This is a non-coding RNA of Oryctolagus cuniculus (rabbit), 776 nucleotides long. The record is from RefSeq and is a predicted model, not a curated record. NCBI's taxonomy places the organism in Eukaryota, Metazoa, Chordata, Mammalia, Lagomorpha, Leporidae.
AAGCAGCCAGAGGGAGGUGCAGUCAGGUGGCAUUCAGGGGCCAGAGUGUCCAACCAUCGGGUUGGCUGAGUGUUAUGCAAAAACAAUCCCCUCCAGUGAUAAAGGUCAGAAGAGACAGCUACCGCAGAUCUGAAGUACAAAGUAGGGGGGUGCCCUUGCCCUGGUUUGAAUGGGUUCUUUCCCAAAUUCAAGUACUUAAACUUAAUGGCCAAUGUGAUCUUGUUAAGAAGUAGGGCCUUUAAGAGGUCAUUACAUCACAAAGGUCCCUCCCCUUGUAAAUGGGAUUAGGUGCCCUUAUAAAAGGGCUUGACAGAGGGAGGCCACCCCUCCUGCCCUCAGUCUUCUGCUAUGUGAGGACACAGAAGCCAUUGCCAGACACCAAGUGCUAGUGCCUUGGUUGUAGAUUUCCGUCUUCCAGAACUGAAACAUAGAGAAUCGGGGCCAAUUCAAUUGGAGAGGAAGUCACAAAGAACUAAAAGAAGAGCCAGAGCAGCCAUGAUGAGUGACAUUCAGACCACCGGACUUCAGGGAACAAAAGUUAGGGCCAAGCAGGAAAAGCCUUGUGCUGGAAAAGAGACUGGAAUGGACAGAAAGCAGAGCAGAAAUGCCUGCAGGGAUAGACAGCUGCUCCUUCACGGCGCCUUCAAUUUCAUCCAUAUCCUCACCGCCAGCAUCCCUGCCCAAGGGCUUACUCAGGAAAGUCUCUGUGUCUUACAACCCAAGUUCCCAAUCAAAAUUGUGGUUCCUAACACCAUGACUCUUCUGAACUCCUCCUA